CCUUUAUGUGUUUGUAUGCAUGCGAUUGGCAACAUAACUGGCUUAUUUACAUUAAAUACGCCACAAGGUUACAGUGCAGAUCAACGUCACUUUAUCGCUGAUUACUUCUCUUAAACGCCGGAGCUGUGACUGAUGCUCCGGUCCCGGUGUCCACCAAGAUUUACCCUGGAGUUUUUAAAAGAAACAGACUUGAAAUAGUUUCAGGAGCAGCACAAGAAAAUGAUCAAGUCAAUCAUGUGGACAUGCUUCAUUAUUCAUUGAACACAAUCUUUUACAACGCUUCGUUUACGUGCAGGAGUUUCUUCUACGUUUUGCUUUAAAUUGUAAGGUAUACAGUAACAGUGGAAGCCCCAGUUGGAAGAUUAACAGUGAAGAUCACAGGUUUUAGGUCCCAGCAGAAACUUCAUCACACUGAAAAGAGUAAAGAUUGCAGUUUGCAGAACCUAGUGAAACCUUGAGAGUAUGCAGAGUGUUAGCACUUACUCUCCAACUUCCACUGGGUCUCAUAACCUGCUAUCUUAG
This 522-nucleotide long non-coding RNA is filed under the name Gopherus agassizii (Agassiz's desert tortoise). RNAcentral's name for it is "lncRNA (ENSGAGG00000017394.1)". The record is from RNAcentral. Lineage: Eukaryota; Metazoa; Chordata; Testudines; Testudinidae.